UUUUAUAUAGUUUAAAAAAACAUUAUAUUUUCAUUAUAAAAAUAAUAAAUUAAAUUUAUUUAUAAAAA
RNAcentral lists this transfer RNA (68 nucleotides) under Cerceris sp. SJW-2017. Its description in RNAcentral is "tRNA-Glu". Lineage: Eukaryota; Metazoa; Arthropoda; Insecta; Hymenoptera; Crabronidae. The record is from RNAcentral.